GAUGAACGCUAGCUACAGGCUUAACACAUGCAAGUCGCGCGGCAGCAUGGGGGUUGCUUGCAACCCCUGAUGGCGACCGGCGCACGGGUGAGUAACGCGUAUCCAACCUGCCCUUCACCACGGGAUAACCCGGCGAAAGUCGGACUACUACCGUAUGUUUUCCAUUUACGGCUUCCGAUUUGUACGAAAGGCUUGGCUGUGAAAGGAUGGGGUUGCGUCCGAUUUGCUUGACGGCGGGGUAACGGCCCACCGUGGCUACGAUCGGUAGGGGUUCUGAGAGGAAGGUACCCGAGAAUGGAAAUGAGACACGGUCCAGAAUGCUACGGGAGGCAGCAGUGAGGAAUAGUGGUCAAUGGGGGUAAGCAUGAACAAGCCAAGUAGCGGGCAGGAUGACGGCGAUAUGGGUUGUAAACUGCUUUUAUGCGGGGACAAAGUGGCAAACGGGUGGGAUUUUGAAGGUACCGAAUGAAUAAGGACCGGCUAAUUACGUG
Molecule: ribosomal RNA, 491 nt
Filed under: uncultured bacterium
Lineage: Bacteria
Description: partial 16S ribosomal RNA
Rfam family: Bacterial small subunit ribosomal RNA
Source: RNAcentral